RNAcentral lists this ribosomal RNA (492 nucleotides) under uncultured bacterium. RNAcentral describes it as "partial 16S ribosomal RNA". It matches the Rfam family "Bacterial small subunit ribosomal RNA", at positions 29 to 507 of the family's 1533-position model. The record is from RNAcentral.
CGUGAACGCUGGCGGUAGGCCUAAUACAUGCAAGUCGAACGGCAGCACAGUAAGAGCUUGCUCUUACGGGUGGCGAGUGGCGGACGGGUGAGGAAUACAUCGGAAUCUACUUUUUCGUGGGGGAUAACGUAGGGAAACUUACGCUAAUACCGCAUACGACCUACGGGUGAAAGCAGGGGAUCUUCGGACCUUGCGCGAUUGAAUGAGCCGAUGUCGGAUUAGCUAGUUGGCGGGGUAAAGGCCCACCAAGGCGACGAUCCGUAGCUGGUCUGAGAGGAUGAUCAGCCACACUGGAACUGAGACACGGUCCAGACUCCUACGGGAGGCAGCAGUGGGGAAUAUUGGACAAUGGGCGCAAGCCUGAUCCAGCCAUACCGCGUGGGUGAAGAAGGCCUUCGGGUUGUAAAGCCCUUUUGUUGGGAAAGAAAAGCAGCAGGUUAAUACCCCGCUGUUCUGACGGUACCCAAAGAAUAAGCACCGGCUAACUUCGUG